AUCGCUUCUCGGCCUUUUGGCUAAGAUCAAGUGUAUACUCAAUUUUGAUAUUAGCUGAAAUACAUUGAGAUUUACAAGGCUAUAAAUGAUCUGGUUAUAUUUAAGUGACACAUUUUGGAUCUCUUAUUUCCAUAAAUUGAUCAUCCUUUU
This 150-nucleotide small nuclear RNA is filed under the name Sus scrofa (pig). RNAcentral's name for it is "U2 spliceosomal RNA (multiple genes)". It matches the Rfam family "U2 spliceosomal RNA". From Rfam's summary of the family: U2 is a small nuclear RNA (snRNA) component of the spliceosome (involved in pre-mRNA splicing). Complementary binding between U2 snRNA (in an area lying towards the 5' end but 3' to hairpin I) and the branchpoint sequence (BPS) of the intron results the bulging out of an unpaired adenosine, on the BPS, which initiates a nucleophilic attack at the intronic 5' splice site, thus starting the first of two transesterification reactions that mediate splicing. Lineage: Eukaryota; Metazoa; Chordata; Mammalia; Artiodactyla; Suidae. The record is from RNAcentral.